Molecule: small nucleolar RNA, 85 nt
Organism: Salvia splendens (bonfire salvia)
Lineage: Eukaryota; Viridiplantae; Streptophyta; Magnoliopsida; Lamiales; Lamiaceae
Product: small nucleolar RNA R16
Exons: 1
Source: RefSeq, a predicted model, not a curated record
UAUGGCAGAUGAAGAUUUAUAAAUCUUAUCCUACACACUGAAUCUCUGUGUUGAUUGAUUACUCCGCUUAUUAUCUGAUGCCAUU